UUCCCACUCCACACCUCUAUAUUUCUGUGUGUGUGUCUUUAAUUCCUCUAGCGUCACUGGGUUAGGGUCUCCCCAAACAAGCUGGUCUCGGCAAUUGGCAUCCAUCAUACGGGCUGGAAUCCAGGUUGAAGGGUCACCUGAUAAAUGGUUGGAGAAUGUGGAACAAAGCUGGAGGACACCAGAGUACUCUUAAGCGAUCUGCGUGCUGAGCAAGACUGUGGACGGUUUGCAUUUACAAUUCCUGUGGUAAACAACCUGCAGCCUGCUGAGCAUUUUCAUUGUUUCACAGAUGGAUCUAGUAAUUGUAAAGCUUCUUAUUCUGGAUCAAAAGGACUGAAUCAACAGCCAAUUUGGAUACCAACAAGACACCUAAAACCUUAUCAUGAGCCAGAUGUUGAGGAAAAGAUUCCAGGAGGAUCCUGAGGAUCCCCUAGUUACAGCCAUGUUGAGACUGACACCGAGGAAGACCCCAACUGUCAUGAGCAACACCCGUUGAACACAGCCACCAACCUGGGGACAGAUCAAGAAGCUGUCACAGAUGGCAGGAAAAAAAACUGAGAAAAGCAGGACAGCCAGUCACAAUGAGUAAUUUAAUGGUAGCUAUGAUAGUAAUGAUCACCAUUGCCAUGUGUAUUCCUUAAACAAGGGCUGACACAGAGAACAAUUAUACUAACUGGGCAUAUUUAUUAAUCUUGGCUGGUAAUAAUGCCUGAAUGUAAUCACUCCAUGACACAGUUACACAUGCUUUCUGGUCUCA
Long non-coding RNA from Homo sapiens (human), 757 nucleotides. RefSeq lists it as uncharacterized. The transcript is spliced from 3 exons. Lineage: Eukaryota; Metazoa; Chordata; Mammalia; Primates; Hominidae. The record is from RefSeq and is a predicted model, not a curated record.